RNAcentral lists this ribosomal RNA (427 nucleotides) under Physarum stellatum. RNAcentral's name for it is "SSU rRNA". It matches the Rfam family "Eukaryotic small subunit ribosomal RNA", at positions 1230 to 1644 of the family's 1831-position model. Lineage: Eukaryota; Evosea; Eumycetozoa; Physariida; Physaraceae. The record is from RNAcentral.
ACACGUAUGAAAGUCAAGCUGAAAGACUUUACUCAAUAAUGUAAGUGGUGGUGCAUGGCCGUUCGUGGUUCGUGGAAUGAUCUGUCUGGUUUAUUCCGAUAACGAGCGAGACCCCAGCGUUCUAAAUAUGGGGGUCCUGCCCGAUUUGCUGCCAGGCAAUAUCAGCAGGACCCUAUAAAACAUACUUCUUAGACGGAUGAGGGCUGACAAAGUCCUUGAAAUGGGUUAAUAACAGGUCAGGUAUGCCCUUAGAUGUUCUGGGCCGCACGCGCGUUACAAUGGCAUGUAAAGAAGGUGCUUUUUGGAGUGGCCCCGUGCUGAGAAGCUUCGGUAAUCCGUAGACCCUGCCUUGACUGGGAUAGUCCAUUGUAAUUAUUGGUCUUGAACGAGGAAUUUUUAUUAGGCGCAGGUCAUUAAUCUGCGCCGA